This 71-nucleotide ribosomal RNA is filed under the name Veillonella parvula. RNAcentral's name for it is "partial 23S ribosomal RNA". Lineage: Bacteria; Bacillati; Bacillota; Negativicutes; Veillonellales; Veillonellaceae. The record is from RNAcentral.
AGGCCAGGUGUGGAAGAGCCGUGAGGUUUGGAGCUGACUGGUACUAAUCGAUCGAGGGCUUUACUUAAACA